AAACUUAAAUGAAUUGACGGGGGCCCGCACAAGCAGCGGAGCGUGUGGUUUAAUUCGAUGCAACACGAAGAACCUUACCUGGGCUUGACAUGGUCGUAGUAGUGAACCGAAAGGGGAACGAGCCUUCGGGCAGCGAUCACAGGUGCUGCAUGGCUGUCGUCAGCUCGUGUCGUGAGAUGUUGGGUUAAGUCCCGCAACGAGCGCAACCCUCGCUACUAGUUAAAUCUGUCUAGUGGGACUGCCGGAGUCAAACCGGAGGAAGGUGGGGAUGACGUCAAGUCAGCAUGGCCUUUAUGUCCAGGGCUACACACACGCUACAAUGGCCGGUACAAUGGGUCGCCAAGCCGCGAGGCGGAGCUAAUCCCAUCAAAGCCGGUCUCAGUUCGGAUUGUAGGCUGCAACCCGCCUACAUGAAGUCGGAGUUGCUAGUAACCGCAGGUCAGCUAUACUGCGGUGAAUACGUUCCCGGGCCUUGUACACACCGCCCGUCACGUCAUGGGAGCUGGUAACACCUGAAGCCGGUGAGCUAACCGUAAGGAGGCAGCUGUCGAAGGUGGGGCCGGUGACUGGGACGAAGUCGUAACAAGGUAGCUGUAGCGGAAGCUGCGGCUGGAUCACCUCCUUUCUG
Molecule: ribosomal RNA, 628 nt
Filed under: uncultured Caldilineaceae bacterium
Lineage: Bacteria; Bacillati; Chloroflexota; Caldilineae; Caldilineales; Caldilineaceae
Description: bacterial SSU rRNA
Rfam family: Bacterial small subunit ribosomal RNA
Source: RNAcentral